This 21-nucleotide microRNA is filed under the name Oryza sativa (Asian cultivated rice). RNAcentral describes it as "osa-miR5837.1". The record is from miRBase by way of RNAcentral. Lineage: Eukaryota; Viridiplantae; Streptophyta; Magnoliopsida; Poales; Poaceae.
AUGUUGGAAUGACAUGCAGCU